CUCGGAGAAGCCCGGUCUCCGGGUAAGAUGGCAGCGGACGGACAGUGCUCGCUCCCCGCUUCAUGGCGGCCAGUGUCCCUCACCCACGUCGAAUAUCCUGCAGGUGAUCUCUCUGGCCACCUCCUUGCCUACCUGAGCCUCAGCCCUGUGUUUGUCAUCGUCGGUUUUGUGACCCUCAUCAUAUUCAAGCGGGAGCUGCACACGAUCUCAUUCCUCGGGGGCCUGGCACUGAACGAGGGGGUCAACUGGCUGAUUAAACACGUCAUCCAGGAGCCGCGGCCCUGUGGAGGCCCCCACAUGGCAGUGGGCACCAAGUACGGGAUGCCCUCCAGCCAUUCGCAGUUUAUGUGGUUCUUCUCCGUCUAUUCCUUCCUUUUCCUGUACUUACGAAUGCACCAAACAAACAACGCCAGGUUCCUGGACUUGCUGUGGAGGCACGUGCUCUCCCUGGGUCUCCUCACCGCGGCCUUUCUAGUCUCCUACAGCAGGGUCUACCUGCUGUACCACACCUGGAGCCAGGUGCUCUAUGGGGGCAUCGCCGGAAGCCUCAUGGCCAUCGCCUGGUUUGUCUUCACCCAGGAGGUCCUCACACCGCUGUUCCCCAGGAUAGCAGCCUGGCCUAUCUCUGAGUUCUUCCUAAUUCGAGACACGAGCCUCAUUCCCAACGUACUCUGGUUUGAGUACACAGUAACCCGAGCAGAAGCCAGAUGAGGAAACUGAGGCUCAGAGAGGAGAGGAGGAGUCACUUGACUGAGAACUUACAGAUGGAACAGACAACGCAAGCUGGGAACGAAACUGCAGUGACCAGUGAGUGUGGCUGGGUCCAGCCUACAGAUCUGGCCUGCACGAUGCCUUGCAGGAUGGACGGAAUGACAGAGGGACAAAGCAGAGACCUCUACAGACCCAAGUCACCAAGUGGAGCCUUUUUUUUUCUUAUUUUAAUUUUAAUGAACAAGGUGGACCAAAGGGCCAAGCCAGCCCCUCCACCAGGACCCUGGAGGGCCUGCUGCCAGGGGGCCACAUGGCCAGAGAGCCUCGCUGUGCUGCUGCCAGCCCCCGGUCGGGCGGAAAGUGCCCUUGCUGUGGGCGCCAGGGUGUGGGGUACAGGAAGAGGGCUUGCACCUCUGGUCUUGGGGCCAGGAAAUCCAGGAAGCGUGAAAAAUACUAUUUAUUUCUUGGUUUUGUCAAAGGCACACGGGAUUUUGGAGAUGGGGCUGGAAGAGCCUGCUCGGCAGUGGCUGCCCUGCGUACAGAGGGGCCCAGGUCAGCUUCCCAGGCCCUUUGCCCUGAGCCCAGGGGCAGGCUGCCUCUCCCUGGGCCUGAGAGGUGGCCUGGGGGCCCAGGAGGAUGGGAGCACCCCUAUGCCCUCCCUGCCACCAUUGUCAUUCCAGAACCUCGUUCAGUGUUUCCUUGUCUGGGGCCAGGGCCCAGAGAGCACGCAUCUGGCGGCUGCUAUCACUGCGUUCUACCCCAUAUCAACCCUACACCAUAAGGGCUUUUUCUGGUCCCCUGUCCCCAAGACAAUGGUCCUUUUCUGACAAAAGAGCCUGCACAUGUGGGUGAGCACACCCCGGCUGUUUACAGCCCUUCCGUCCUGCCAUCCGGAGCAGUUAGUCUUCAUCUCCAGUCGAACAAGAUGUGAAGGAACCGGGAGCCGCUGAGCACAGUGGGGCAGUGGGUGCCUGACGUCCCCACACUUCCCCUCCCUCUGGAUGCUCUGAACAUUCCUCGUCCUUCCUGACCCCCCUCCAAGACGCUGGGAGCCUGCUCGGGGUCACCCUUGAGCCCGGGAGGCAGGCUCAGAUCCCCGCUGUCCAGCUCGGAAGACGCCUCUUCCUUCCUCAAGGGAGCUGGUCUCUCAGUUGCUCUGAAAUGGAGUUGUGGAGAGGAGAUGCUUCGAGACUCUUGCAAGUUUCUCGAACUGAACCAGGCUGCUUGGGUCCUGUGUUUGAAUCCCUCUCCUGCCCCGCCUUUUUCUUUAUGGAGGUUCCUAAUCUGCUGCUGAAGCACAAUAUUUUGGUGCUUUCUUUUCUCAUUUGUUGAAGACAGUGUCCAAAAGCCAUUCCAGAUGCCAGGACCAGGGGCCUAUUUCUGGGGAAGCUUGGUCAGUCCCCACAUUUUCCUCCCCUUCCCUUCUUAUUUUUAUUUUUUACUUUUUGCCUGAGACAAGCCAGGUGUGAGGUGAUUUAAGAAAAAUCAAUGAAAUUGUUUACUAUUGUUUUAAAAUAAAAUCUUGAACUCUG
Equus caballus (horse) is the source of this 2243-nucleotide RNA transcript. It is a transcript of the gene named dolichyldiphosphatase 1, with no coding region annotated. The record is from RefSeq and is a predicted model, not a curated record. NCBI's taxonomy places the organism in Eukaryota, Metazoa, Chordata, Mammalia, Perissodactyla, Equidae.